UCAGGUGUCUUGAAGAUUAAGCCAACCUCCAAUGUAAAGCUGGAUUUUGACACUAGGUCACAGGCAGUGUUUCAGUCAGCUACUCUGCUCAAUCAUAAGAUGGGAAGCUACUCCACAGGAGCCCAGGUCUGCAGCCUGCCAGCCUUCAGACUGAGAUGUGUUCCAUGGAUUCCUCUGCUUCUCAGACACCAUCAAAUUCCUCGUGUCCAACUGACUACCUGCAGGAUCACGCCCAUGAACUUCACUGCAGAGUCCCUUUUCUGAGAAAUUGAAUAUGAAAAUGCAU
Molecule: long non-coding RNA, 286 nt
Organism: Ochotona princeps (American pika)
Lineage: Eukaryota; Metazoa; Chordata; Mammalia; Lagomorpha; Ochotonidae
Exons: 3
Source: RefSeq, a predicted model, not a curated record